AUUGAACGCUGGCGGCAUGCUUUACACAUGCAAGUCGAACGGUAACAGGUUAAGCUGACGAGUGGCGAACGGGUGAGUAAUGCAUCGGAACGUGCCCGGUCGGGGGGGAUAACGCAGCGAAAGCUGCGCUAAUACCGCAUACGAUCUGAGGAUGAAAGCGGGGGAGGGGAAGGCCUGGCGCGAUCGGGGCGGCCGAUGCCAGGUUGGGUAGUUGGGGGGGUAAAGGGUCGGCAAGCCAACGAUCUGUAGCCGAGCUGGGCGGAGGACCAGCCACCUGGGGGCUGAGACAGCGCCCAGACGCCUACGGGAGGGAGCAGUGGGGAAUUGUGGACAAUGGGCGAAAGCCUGUUCCAGCAAUGGCGAGUGCAGGACGGAGGCCUUCGGUUUGGAAACUGCUUUUGUACGGAGCGAAACUGUCUCCUCUAAUACGGGGGGCUCAUGACGGUACCGUAAGAAGAAGCACCGGCUAACUACGUGCCAGCCGCCGCGGUAA
Molecule: ribosomal RNA, 493 nt
Filed under: uncultured bacterium
Lineage: Bacteria
Description: partial 16S ribosomal RNA
Rfam family: Bacterial small subunit ribosomal RNA
Source: RNAcentral